RNAcentral lists this ribosomal RNA (137 nucleotides) under Acinetobacter baumannii. RNAcentral's name for it is "partial 23S ribosomal RNA". The stretch from base 1 to 119 matches the Rfam family "Bacterial large subunit ribosomal RNA", at positions 2796 to 2925 of the family's 2925-position model. RNAcentral also lists the same sequence under 1 other name. Lineage: Bacteria; Pseudomonadati; Pseudomonadota; Gammaproteobacteria; Moraxellales; Moraxellaceae. The record is from RNAcentral.
UCCCUAGGACUUUAUGUCCUCUAAAGAGCCGUUCGAGACUAGGACGUUGAUAGGUUGGAUGUGGAAGCAUAGUGAUAUGUGAAGCUGACCAAUACUAAUUGCUCGUGAGGCUUGACUAUACAACACCCAAGCAGUUG